RNAcentral lists this ribosomal RNA (1361 nucleotides) under uncultured bacterium. Its description in RNAcentral is "bacterial SSU rRNA". It matches the Rfam family "Bacterial small subunit ribosomal RNA", at positions 28 to 1381 of the family's 1533-position model. The record is from RNAcentral.
AUUGAACGCUGGCGGCAGGCCUAACACAUGCAAGUCGAGCGGUAGCACAGAGAGCUUGCUCUCGGGUGACGAGUGGCGGACGGGUGAGUAAUGUCUGGGAAACUGCCUGAUGGAGGGGGAUAACUACUGGAAACGGUAGCUAAUACCGCAUAACGUCGCAAGACCAAAGUGGGGGACCUUCGGGCCUCAUGCCAUCAGAUGUGCCCAGAUGGGAUUAGCUAGUAGGUGGGGUAACGGCUCACCUAGGCGACGAUCCCUAGCUGGUCUGAGAGGAUGACCAGCCACACUGGAACUGAGACACGGUCCAGACUCCUACGGGAGGCAGCAGUGGGGAAUAUUGCACAAUGGGCGCAAGCCUGAUGCAGCCAUGCCGCGUGUGUGAAGAAGGCCUUCGGGUUGUAAAGCACUUUCAGCGGGGAGGAAGGCGUUAAGGUUAAUAACCUUGGCGAUUGACGUUACCCGCAGAAGAAGCACCGGCUAACUCCGUGCCAGCAGCCGCGGUAAUACGGAGGGUGCAAGCGUUAAUCGGAAUUACUGGGCGUAAAGCGCACGCAGGCGGUCUGUCAAGUCGGAUGUGAAAUCCCCGGGCUCAACCUGGGAACUGCAUUCGAAACUGGCAGGCUAGAGUCUUGUAGAGGGGGGUAGAAUUCCAGGUGUAGCGGUGAAAUGCGUAGAGAUCUGGAGGAAUACCGGUGGCGAAGGCGGCCCCCUGGACAAAGACUGACGCUCAGGUGCGAAAGCGUGGGGAGCAAACAGGAUUAGAUACCCUGGUAGUCCACGCCGUAAACGAUGUCGAUUUGGAGGUUGUGCCCUUGAGGCGUGGCUUCCGGAGCUAACGCGUUAAAUCGACCGCCUGGGGAGUACGGCCGCGAGGUUAAAACUCAAAUGAAUUGACGGGGGCCCGCACAAGCGGUGGAGCAUGUGGUUUAAUUCGAUGCAACGCGAAGAACCUUACCUGGUCUUGACAUCCACAGAACUUUCCAGAGAUGGAUUGGUGCCUUCGGGAACUGUGAGACAGGUGCUGCAUGGCUGUCGUCAGCUCGUGUUGUGAAAUGUUGGGUUAAGUCCCGCAACGAGCGCAACCCUUAUCCUUUGUUGCCAGCGGUUAGGCCGGGAACUCAAAGGAGACUGCCAGUGAUAAACUGGAGGAAGGUGGGGAUGACGUCAAGUCAUCAUGGCCCUUACGACCAGGGCUACACACGUGCUACAAUGGCAUAUACAAAGAGAAGCGACCUCGCGAGAGCAAGCGGACCUCAUAAAGUAUGUCGUAGUCCGGAUUGGAGUCUGCAACUCGACUCCAUGAAGUCGGAAUCGCUAGUAAUCGUAGAUCAGAAUGCUACGGUGAAUACGUUCCCGGGCCU